Molecule: small nucleolar RNA, 109 nt
Organism: Malus domestica (apple)
Lineage: Eukaryota; Viridiplantae; Streptophyta; Magnoliopsida; Rosales; Rosaceae
Product: small nucleolar RNA snoR97
Source: RefSeq, a predicted model, not a curated record
UUUUUCGAUCAGGCAAAGGGUCUGAAAUAACUCAUAAAUUAGAGUGUUGUCAUCAGCUUCAUCUUGUGUUUACUGAUCAAGACUGGAGUUAAACAACAACACUACAUCU